Molecule: ribosomal RNA, 582 nt
Filed under: Caridea sp. 1 KYKC-2019
Lineage: Eukaryota; Metazoa; Arthropoda; Malacostraca; Decapoda
Description: partial small subunit ribosomal RNA
Source: RNAcentral
UUUAAACUUAGGGGACGAGCAAAAGGGAUUAGUGGUUGGUUWAUGUGUAGAUAGGGCAUGAGUGUGGCUCACAAUAAGUAAAAGGUGGAAUUGGGCUACUUUAAGCUAAGUUAACUUAAAAUCUAUUAUUGCAGAGGCCAAAAAGAGAGGGGGAUAAACUAGGAUUAGAUACCCUAUUAUACCUUCUUUUAAAUGAGUGCGCUUGUGUAUUAAUAGCUAUUUUCUUUAAAUACAUAGGAUUUGGCGGCGUUCUAGUCCUGUUAGAGGAACCUGUCACGUAAACGAUAUGCCACGAAAUAUCUUACUUGGUUAUGUUUUCAGCAUGUAUACCGUCAUUGUUAGAUAAUUCUUGUAGGAUGAAUUGUUGCAAACAAGUAAAAAUAUUUUAUAAGUAAAUUAGAUCUAGGUGCAGCCGAUAAUCAAGUGUUGGUGGGUUACAAUAAUAUGUAAUUAUUACGGACCUCGUAUUGGAAAAGCGAGUGAAGGAGGAUUUAAUUGUAAGGCUAAUUUAAUAUGUUAGCUUGGUAGAGGCUCUAGAUUGUGUACAUAUCGCCCGUCGCUUUCAUUCUAAGGUGAGAUAAG